Molecule: ribosomal RNA, 235 nt
Filed under: uncultured bacterium
Lineage: Bacteria
Description: partial 16S ribosomal RNA
Rfam family: Bacterial small subunit ribosomal RNA
Source: RNAcentral
CCGGCACGGGUGAGUAACACGUAUCCAACCUGCCGUCUACUCUUGGACAGCCUUCUGAGGAAGAUUAAUACAAGAUGGCAUCAUGAGUUCACAUGUUCACAUGAUUAAAGGUAUUCCGGUAGACGAUGGGGAUGCGUUCCAUUAGAUAGUAGGCGGGGUAACGGCCCACCUAGUCUUCGAUGGAUAGGGGUUCUGAGAGGAAGGUCCCCCACAUUGGAACUGAGACACGGUCCAA